This 400-nucleotide ribosomal RNA is filed under the name phytoplankton environmental sample. RNAcentral's name for it is "partial small subunit ribosomal RNA". It matches the Rfam family "Eukaryotic small subunit ribosomal RNA", at positions 587 to 991 of the family's 1831-position model. The record is from RNAcentral.
AGCUCCAGAAGCGUAUAUUAAAGUUGUUGCGGUUAAAACGCUCGUAGUUGAAUAUAUGCCUAGUACAGGUGGUCUACCCUCGAUUGGUAGCACGCGCUUCGUGCUUGGCACACUUCUGAAAUCUUUUUCCCCACUUCAUUGUGCGGGACUUAAUUCAGAUACAUUACUUUGAGGAAAUGAGGGUGCUCUAUGCAGAUAUAUGUCAUGGAUACGUUAGCAUGGAAUAGCAUUACAGAAUAUUAUUCUGAAGCUGCUGGUUUUUUGGAAUAGUAUAAUGGCAAGAGGAACAGUUGGGGGCAUUUAUAUUUAACUGUUAGAGGUGAAAUUCUUGAAUCUUUUAAAGAUGAACUACUGCGAAAGCAUCUGCCCAGGAUGUUUUUAUUAAUCAAGAACGAAAGUA